Long non-coding RNA from Sinocyclocheilus rhinocerous, 433 nucleotides. RefSeq lists it as uncharacterized. NCBI's taxonomy places the organism in Eukaryota, Metazoa, Chordata, Actinopteri, Cypriniformes, Cyprinidae. The transcript is spliced from 3 exons. The record is from RefSeq and is a predicted model, not a curated record.
GAUGCAUCGACAGACAUAUACGCGCGUCCUUUCUUAUCAGUGAUGCAAUUUAUUUAUCAGCUAUGCAUCUUCUGGUAAUUGCUAACAACUGUUUCAGUUUUCGUUUAGGACUGUGUCUGCAUCACUGGCAUAAUUGCACAAGAAAGGCACAUGUGUCGUUCAGUUUUGAGUUCGCUGGAAAAUCAUACUGAGACUGAAUACACCACUCUUGCAUUCACCUGCAUCUCUCACAGUAAGGGGAUGCUCGUUCAGUUUUCAACUCCAUUCAGAAUCUUAGAAUGUGAGAAUAACAGUGUAAAAGAACCUGUUGCAAAGAGAGCCAAAGCAAAGCAGCCCACUUGGUCAUGGAAAUGGGGAUUCCUGCCUGCACAAGAACCUGGACCACAGCUAAGACCAUGUGAUGCACACACUCCCAUGAGUUAUUUUAUGUGAU